RNAcentral lists this ribosomal RNA (468 nucleotides) under uncultured bacterium. RNAcentral describes it as "bacterial SSU rRNA". It matches the Rfam family "Bacterial small subunit ribosomal RNA", at positions 335 to 799 of the family's 1533-position model. The record is from RNAcentral.
ACUCCUACGGGAGGCAGCAGUGGGGAAUUUUGGACAAUGGGGGCAACCCUGAUCCAGCAAUGCCGCGUGUGUGAAGAAGGCCUCGGUUGUAAGCACUUUGUCCGGAAAGAAACGUUCUGGUUAAUACCUGGGGCGGAUGACGGUACCGGAAGAAUAAGCACCGGCUAACUACGUGCCAGCAGCCGCGGUAAUACGUAGGGUGCGAGCGUUAAUCGGAAUUACUGGGCGUAAAGCGUGCGCAGGCGGUUUUGUAAGACAGGCGUGAAAUCCCCGGGCUUAACCUGGGAAUUGCGCUUGUGACUGCAAGGCUAGAGUGCGUCAGAGGGGGGUAGAAUUCCACGUGUAGCAGUGAAAUGCGUAGAGAUGUGGAGGAAUACCGAUGGCGAAGGCAGCCCCCCUGGGACGUGACUGACGCUCAUGCACGAAAGCGUGGGAGCAAACAGGAUUAGAUACCCUGGUAGGAUAGCG